RNAcentral lists this ribosomal RNA (429 nucleotides) under Verrucomicrobiota bacterium. RNAcentral describes it as "Verrucomicrobia bacterium partial 16S ribosomal RNA". It matches the Rfam family "Bacterial small subunit ribosomal RNA", at positions 355 to 776 of the family's 1533-position model. The record is from RNAcentral. Lineage: Bacteria; Pseudomonadati; Verrucomicrobiota.
UAGGGAAUCUUCCGCAAUGGACGAAAGUCUGACGGAGCAACGCCGCGUGAGUGAAGAAGGAUUUCGGUUCGUAAAACUCUGUUGUUAGGGAAGAAAAAAUGUAUAGUAACUAUAUACAAAAGAGACGGUACCUAACCAGAAAGCCACGGCUAACUACGUGCCAGCAGCCGCGGUAAUACGAAGGUGGCAAGCGUUGUCCGGAAUUAUUGGGCGUAAAGCGCGCGCAGGUGGUUUAGAAAGUCUGAUGUGAAAGCCCACGGCUCAACCGUGGAGGGUCAUUGGAAACUAAUAAACUUGAGUGCAGGAGAGAAAAGUGGAAUUCCUAGUGUAGCGGUGAAAUGCGUAGAGAUUAGGAGGAACACCGGUGGCGAAAGCGGCUUUUUGGCCUGCAACUGACACUGAGGCGCGAAAGCGUGGGGAGCAAACAGG